UCCCUGGUGGUCUGGUAGCUGAGAACUCUGCGCUCCCAACACAGGGGGUCCAGGUUCAAUUCCUGGUCAGGGAA
RNAcentral lists this transfer RNA (74 nucleotides) under Ovis aries (sheep). It matches the Rfam family "tRNA". Rfam says of the family: Transfer RNA (tRNA) molecules are approximately 80 nucleotides in length. Lineage: Eukaryota; Metazoa; Chordata; Mammalia; Artiodactyla; Bovidae. The record is from Rfam by way of RNAcentral.